This 497-nucleotide ribosomal RNA is filed under the name uncultured bacterium. RNAcentral's name for it is "partial 16S ribosomal RNA". It matches the Rfam family "Bacterial small subunit ribosomal RNA", at positions 28 to 507 of the family's 1533-position model. The record is from RNAcentral.
GAUGAACGCUGGCGGCGUGCCUAAUACAUGCAAGUCGAGCGAACAGACGAGGAGCUUGCUCCUCUGACGUUAGCGGCGGACGGGUGAGUAACACGUGGAUAACCUACCUAUAAGACUGGGAUAACUUCGGGAAACCGGAGCUAAUACCGGAUAAUAUAUUGAACCGCAUGGUUCAAUAGUGAAAGACGGUUUUGCUGUCACUUAUAGAUGGAUCCGCGCCGCAUUAGCUAGUUGGUAAGGUAACGGCUUACCAAGUCAACGAUGCGUAGCCGACCUGAGAGGGUGAUCGGUCACACUGGAACUGAGACACGGUCCAGACUCCUACGGGAGGCAGCAGUAGGGAAUCUUCCGCAAUGGGCGAAAGCCUGACGGAGCAACGCCGCGUGAGUGAUGAAGGUCUUCGGAUCGUAAAACUCUGUUAUUAGGGAAGAACAAAUGUGUAAGUAACUAUGCACGUCUUGACGGUACCUAAUCAGAAAGCCACGGCUAACUACGUG